GGUCGGAUAAGGCGUUCACGCCGCAUCCGACAUUUGCACAAGAUGCCUGAUGCGACGCUGUCCGCGUCUUAUCAGGCC
Non-coding RNA from Trichuris trichiura (human whipworm), 78 nucleotides. NCBI's taxonomy places the organism in Eukaryota, Metazoa, Nematoda, Enoplea, Trichinellida, Trichuridae. The record is from Rfam.